GAUGAAGAACGUAGCGAAAUGCGAUAAGUAGUGUGAAUUGCAGAAUUCAGUGAAUCAUCGAAUCUUUGAACGCACAUUGCGCCCCUUGGUAUUCCAUGGGGCAUGCCUGUUCGAGCGUCAUUUGUACCUUCAAGCUUUGCUUGGGGUUGGGUGUUUGUCCUGAGGGACUCGCCUUAAAGUAAUUGGCAGCCAGUGUUUGGUUUUGAAGCGCAGCACAAGUCGCGAUUCAAAGCUAUACGCCCGCUUCCACAAGCCUUUUUCACUUUUGACCUCGGAUCAGGUAGGGAUACCCGCUGAACUUAAGCAUAUCAAUAAGCGGAGGA
Molecule: unclassified non-coding RNA, 323 nt
Filed under: soil metagenome
Description: partial contains 5.8S ribosomal RNA, internal transcribed spacer 2, and large subunit ribosomal RNA
Rfam family: 5.8S ribosomal RNA (bases 1-120)
Source: RNAcentral